GUUGGUUUGGCUCAGUGGUUAGAGUGUCAGCCCUUGGACUGGGGGUUGUGGGUUCGAUUCCAGUAACCAAUC
Molecule: transfer RNA, 72 nt
Filed under: Myotis brandtii (Brandt's bat)
Lineage: Eukaryota; Metazoa; Chordata; Mammalia; Chiroptera; Vespertilionidae
Rfam family: tRNA
About the family: Transfer RNA (tRNA) molecules are approximately 80 nucleotides in length. Their secondary structure includes four short double-helical elements and three loops (D, anti-codon, and T loops).
Source: Rfam by way of RNAcentral